This 259-nucleotide ribosomal RNA is filed under the name uncultured bacterium. Its description in RNAcentral is "partial 16S ribosomal RNA". It matches the Rfam family "Bacterial small subunit ribosomal RNA", at positions 793 to 1055 of the family's 1533-position model. The record is from RNAcentral.
GUCCACGCCCUAAACGAUGUCUACUUGCUGUUGGGGGUAACCUUAGUAGCGAAGCUAACGCGAGAAGUAGACCGCCUGGGGGAGUACGGUCGCAAGAUUAAAACUCAAAGGAAUUGACGGGGACCCGCACAAGCGGUGGAUGAUGUGGAUUAAUUCGAUGCAACGCGAAAAACCUUACCUGCUCUUGACAUGUACGGAAUGCUGAAGAGAUUCGGCAGUGCCUUCGGGAACCGUAACACAGGUGCUGCAUGGCUGUCGU